UACGUAGGGUGCAAGCGUUGUCCGGAAUUAUUGGGCGUAAAGAGCUCGUAGGCGGUUUGUUACGUCGGCUGUGAAAACCUGGGGCUCAACCCCGGGCCGGCAGCCGAUACGGGCAGACGUAGAAUUCGGUAGGGGAGACGUGGGAAUUCCUGGUGUAGCGGUGAAAUGCGCAGAUAUCAGGAGGAACACCGGUGGCGAAGGCGGG
This 205-nucleotide ribosomal RNA is filed under the name uncultured bacterium. RNAcentral describes it as "partial 16S ribosomal RNA". It matches the Rfam family "Bacterial small subunit ribosomal RNA", at positions 524 to 725 of the family's 1533-position model. The record is from RNAcentral.